CCUUUUUCAGGUCUUUGGAUUUAGCUUUAGUUAUGAGAGAUCCAGAAUAAAGCUAUUCAACCGAAGUCAUCAAGCACAUGUGUCAUUCUUGCAAAGAUGAUUAAAUAAUAUCCAAGUUUUCUUGAAAGUUGAGUUUAUCUUGGAUGUGCCCAAAAGAAAGUAAUUCCAAGUGCACAGAAGGAAGAUGCUGGGAUACUUUUUUUUCUUUCCUGCACUUUAGUUUUCCAUGUUACAAUAAAUAAUAAAAACAAUGGACAUUGCAGAAGUACCACAUACAUGUUAAAUGAUCAUUUAAAAUGUGUUUAUUGUAACAGAGGACAUUAUGGGUGGAUGGAUGGAUGCAGGUGCCUGUGCACGUGUCUGCAAUUUACACACUCAUAGGCAAUGUGUGUUGCUGUAGGGACAUACAUGAGAAGAUAUGUUCGAAAGAUGUAUCUAAACCUGUAUACAUCCAAGCUGACAGACUCUAUAAGGUUUAGGCAAACUUACCUACCAGAGUUUAUGCUGUGGGAAAUGCCUGCUGCUAAUGGAACAGAGUGGAAGACUUCUAGGGAAUGAACAGACAGACCUGUGGCAAUAUCUUUUUCCCCCUAUACACCUGUGCCCCACUAAAAAAGAAUUAGCUGGUUAAUUCCAGGCAACCAAACUAAAAAACCUGUAAGGAAAGCUUAGGCUUUAGCCCUAAUCUGCCUCAGUCUCAACAGAGCCUUUUUGGUAACAGAACAAUGACCAUUUCUGGUCCCCAUGGGCUUUAUGCACUAGCCUGGCAGUCUCAACUGUUAGAUCUGUAUCUACUUAUGUAAGGCCCUAUGUUAUUUUAAUAAUUAUUUUUAUAUUUUAUAACCCAUUCUGAGACUUUCUAAAACAAAUACAGUCUGCCUUUCCCCUGCCUUUGGAAAGAAACAAAUCAUAGGUAGAAAAUAGGCAUUAGAACAUCCAUAUUUAAAGUCAAUGUCAUUAACUUAGGAGAUUUAUACAGCAAUCUGGGUGCACCUUCUUCCUUUAGAGAAGGUUUCUUGGCCUUAUUCGAAAGCUAGAAUUUCCUGCUGUUUUAGAGGUGACUUGCUCUUAGCUAAACAUACAAAAUUAUUAAUCUCUCCAGUUUUACAGGUAAACAUCAGAAUGUUGUAGGGAUACCAGCUCUACCCCUUCUCUGUCUGCCAUCUUCCACUCUCUCUUCCUAACAAGUCUGAAUCCCAAGGCAUCAGCCACAACAACAAAAAAUCAACUCUGAUCUGUUAGGAACCAUGACAGUUAUUGUCACAGUAUGUGUGUCUGGGCUUUGGGGUCAACCUUGAUCACACGUAUCUGUCUCUUUUUCUCUGAUUUUUGUUUUUUGUUUUUUCCAUAUACUCCAUUAUUCUUCAACAACAUUGGAACCGAGCCUGUUAUUUUUCUCUUUUUUAAAAUCUCUACUAUACAACCUCCUGAUUUCAGAGUUCACCACAAAGGUAUACUGUCAUGACACUUUAGUAACGAUAGUCAAAUAGACACUUGUGUAAUUCCACCAGCAUUUUCAACAGUGGGAAACUGUCCCCUCUGCACCUGGGUGGUAGUGAUAAUUUUUUAAAAAAUCUGUUCAACUUUAACUUAUUGGCACGAAUAGGUGGGCACCUAGCAUAGAUAAAGUAAAAUGGUCAAUCAUCUAAAAGAGACUGCAGAGGCAAUGCUUUGAUUUCUCCAAAGUGUCACGCUGGUUCCUUCAUGCCUCAUUCUCACCUGUACAACCUACAUGCUAUUUCACAUUUUGGAAAAGCCUUUAAAUAUUGUGGAUGAGUUUUUAUUGUUGUUGCUGUUUUCUUUUAGAAAAGAAAUAUAUUGGCUCUUUCUUUAAUAAAAAUUUCCUGGAAUGAAAGAUUAUAACCACAGUACCAGAAUCACUUUGAAAACAAAAGUAAAGCAAAUCUAUUUCCCUAAAGAAAUAAAAGUACUUUCCACUCAAUAACCUUUGGAUUUCUGUUGCCUCGAGAAUGUGAAUUUUGGUUCAGAACUGUCCCUUCUCACUGCCCUUUUCAUUACUGAUGGCUGAGACACACUGGGAAUUUUUCUUGGAUUGAGGAAAUGGAUUGUAAACUAUAACCAACUCCAAAGAGAAAUUUUUUUCCUGAAAUUAUUAACUUAAAAUAGGUUUUUAAAUGCUUGAGGACACUUACUUGGUCAAAUUCCAUUACCUUCCAGUUUUUAGGGGUUUUUUCUUUCAUUAUUUUUUUUUCAGUCAUGCCUGCAGCAUGUGGAAGUUCCUGGGCCAGGGAUGGAACCUGCACCACAGCAGUGACCAGAGCCAUAGCAGUGACAAUGCUGGAUCCUUAACCUGCUAAGCCACAAGGGAAAUCCUUCUUUUAGAUUUUUAACAAAUUGAAUUCUGUAGGGGUUAACUUUUUGCUACAUAAAUAUAUAGAUACAUGCAGGUAUUUAUAUAUGUAUGUAUAUAUAUUUUUUAGAAGCAAGCACUUCUCUCUGUAUGGCAUUACCUGGUAUGAGACAUUCAUCAAAAGUCCUUGGAAGGAAGUUCUUGCCGUUUUUACAUUUGACACCUUCCUCUGGUCACCAGGAACACUGAGAGAGUAUGUGUCUAUACCUGAUUUGACCAGGGUUGAAGUCUCAGGCCACAGAGGCAGCCUCUUUUGGCUCAGACAUCUUCAGAGGAUGCCAGAGACCCAAAUGCUGAGAUUAGCAUGCCAAAGAAUCACUAACCACACCAAGCAGGUUUGGUUCCUCAAUCCAAUCUCGAGAAGAACAACCAUUUCCACUGGCCACGAGUCACAAGCAUUCAUUUAGAAAUACCCAAGGUGAAAUUCAUUUUUACCAACCCAUAGGAAUGUUCCCAUGCUGAAAUAUGCUCUUUUCUUGGUCAUUUGACAAAGGAGACAUGGAGUAUGAACAAGAGACAAAAAGACACAGGGCAAAGUCAAAGGAACAUCCCCAGGUAGGAAGAAUUAUAAAAGCCAUGGAAAGUCUCUGUCAUGGCUCCAUGGCUGCUGCCCUUGCAAAGGGAGACAUGCAUGGUGGGAGCAAGGAGGUGGCACAAUGGACAAUGGGGCUCCCAAGGGCAGAACUCCAUGAUUCUCCCCAAACCCUGCUUUGUGUUUUCUCUCCAGGACUGAGACCCCACUCCACCCCCCAACACCACUGCCUCACCCCAGUGCCAGCUGUGGUUGCACACAGGCUUGUCUAAACGAAUUGGUAAUUACCACCCUGAGGAAACCUGAUCAACCCACUGCAGCAGGAGUUGGACUUCCCAUAUGAGAAGUCUCUUUGGUGGAUCUACUCACUGAGGGGGAUCUGGAACACCCUGAUGGGACACGCAGGCAAGUUCCUGGAGAACAGAUUUCUGGGCUGGUCUCAUCUCUGUAACUGGUGGGAAUGGACCACCAAGCUUUCCCAGCACUUACAGAAGACGAGCACCCCACUGGCCACGGCCCAGGUCUGUUUGAUGGACCUCACUCACCACCUUGAUCAUGGUUGAGGCAUAGAACAGAGAUGACUCAAAACACAAAUAAAACUCACUUCUACCAUGGAUUCCUUCAUCAACAGGUUGAAUAAUGAAACGCUUGAACUGGACUUUCAACCUUUCCCAGGAAUUCUUGCAGAAAUCCGAAUACUCCAAAUCAUCCACAGCAGCAAAUGUGCUCUGGGAUGGUAGGAGAAAUGAGCAAAAUUCUGAAUUGAAUACUUAAGAAAUGAAGCACUUGAUAAAAACAAGACAUGAAUUUGGACAGCAAUAAUUUGGGGUUAUUACCAAUGUCAAGUUGAAUCUAUAUAUGUAUUCAUAUAUUAUAUAUAUAUCUUUCUUUAGAAAUGCAACUUUACAGCUGAUUUUUAAAAAGCUAAUAGAAAAGUAGAAACUGACAAUUAUUUUUACAUGUUUCCCCCCACCCCCAAAUGAAGCCCUGUUAGGAUGUAGCAAUAACAUGAAGACGAGGCUCGUCAUUUCCUCUAUAAAUUCUUUGGUUCUGUGGCUCGGGAGAGGAUGUGUCACCAAGACCCCUACCCCUGACCCCUACUCCCCUCUCCUCCCCUGAUGAUGAGACUCUGAACAUAGAAGGAACCAAGACUAAGGGUUAAGCAAAAGAACAUUCAAGUGACAACGGUAUUCCCCACCCUCUGCAGAGCAGAGAGAAGUGUUCAGUAUCCCAACAUCCUAAACUUAGAGUCCAUGGAACCUCUUGAGAGAUUCCAUGUUGGGUAGAAAGCCGUAAAACAAAGUUAAAGGGAAACAAUAAAAUCAAAUAAAUGACCCUUUCCUUUUGUUGCUCAGAAACAAAAUUGAUUACCUUUACACAGAUCAAUGGCGCUAUUAGUAUUUAAGCCAGGCAAGAGGAGAUAAUGAACUGAAACAAAAGGUGUGAGAAAUCCUCAUCUUUGGUAUUGUAGCUGUUGAGGUUUCUGUUGCUCUGUUCCGUGUUCUUUUGAAAAACUGCAUAGGCACAAAUUAAAGACAAUCUUCAACUUUAAGAUUACCGUGUGAGUUGUCAAGUGAAGCAGCAGCCACGGACGCUUUUCCUUAUUUCUAUUCCUGUCUCAACCCUUUCUUUAAAAUCUGCUUCCAAAAAAUGUCCCAAGAGGUCUGUUUGAACACAGUGUGUCUCGCUGUUUUUCUGUUUCUUUUCUUUUUUUUCUGGCGUGCUUCCUUCUUGUUGGUGGUGAUUUUCAUUGAUUUACAUCUUUAUUUCUUUAUUCAUUUUAAUGGGACAGUUUUGUUUGUUGCAGAAGUAGGUGCAGAAAAA
This 4727-nucleotide long non-coding RNA is filed under the name Sus scrofa (pig). RNAcentral's name for it is "lncRNA (ENSSSCG00005035402.1)". The record is from RNAcentral. Lineage: Eukaryota; Metazoa; Chordata; Mammalia; Artiodactyla; Suidae.